GUUAUCCCUGCAUCAGGUAUGAAGAGAGGAAAACAUGCAUGCAAAAAGCUUUUCCCAAAAAAUAGUAAUUGAUUGAAAAAAUCCACUCCUACGACGAAAUCAAGAUCGACAAUCAUCUGUAAACAUUAAUCUCAACACCUAUUAAUAAAAAACUCAUCUAAAGUAAUUAAAAUUUAUUGUUCAAAUAUAUCGGACAUUUAGCAGGAA
This 207-nucleotide long non-coding RNA is filed under the name Elaeis guineensis (African oil palm). Its description in RNAcentral is "long non-coding RNA (EGUI_LNC012143)". Lineage: Eukaryota; Viridiplantae; Streptophyta; Magnoliopsida; Arecales; Arecaceae. The record is from RNAcentral.